UCAUUUGUGUCUUCUGUUUUAAGUAAAUGUGUUUGUUUUGGUACAAGGUGCUAAGACUAGAGGAGAAUUGUGGGUGGGUCUGUCAGAAGCAAAGAAAAGCGGCGUCAGGCAAUAUAGUAAGGUAACCACUGCCUCACGGGGUGUCAUCUGUGGUGACCUUGCCUUGAAUGAAGAAGGAACAAAACAAGAAAAAAAUAAAGGAAAAGAAAAGAGAGGAAGAAGAAAGAGAAAUAGAGAAAAGAGAAAUACACGGUACAAGCCAAACAGCAAGUACCUACAAAAACUACACCUCAGCCACGACAAUUCUAAAGUCAUCCAUCUACAGUGAAGCAGUAAAGGCGAGCGUUCCUCCUCUUCGUAUACCAUCAAGUCAUAGGGCAUUGGCUAUUGCCUCACCCCUCUGUACAUUACCGUGAAGCCUCCACAGCACCGCUCAUUAAGGUGUUUCCAUUGAAUUCCCCUCGCCAGGACCCACACUCCCAAGCACCUCGGCUCUCCACUUUCUACAGGGUCUCGUAAAAGCUACUCGGGUUUUCAAGGAAGUUUUCAUGAUUCUAAUGAUGGAUUAACAGGGAUUCUGUGUCAUCAGUGGGAAAAGAGCAUCCACACGAACUCGACAAGUGAUCUCCGAGACAUCUUAAAAUAAUUCUGUGAGACUUUUUCAAAACGGAACCGGGCCAGUGGUCCAAGCCAAGGAACGUAGUAAGUCUGUAGCUUCCUCGCUGUAGUUCCAUUGACUCCCGUGCCUUGGUGCAGUGUACCAGCGCGACGGAGUGAGCGGUGUCAGAGCCAGUCAAGGUAUUGGACAUUAAAUAAACUCAUUGCAUGAAAAAUAUACACGUAACCCGUCACAGGCCCGGCGUAUGAUCGUAUACCUCUCUCUCUCUCUCUCUCUCUCUCUCUCUCUCUCUCUCUCUCGUGUGCGUGUGUGCGCUCAGUCAAUACCUAUAUCCUGUAACCGGCGGUAGCGUUACACGAUUACAGAAUCUUGGCGGGAAGGAAGCCGGGAUCUGCGAGCGCGGAAAUUGUAAUGUCACCCAAGAAGAGGCCAAGUACUGCUGCAAAAAGAGUAAUCAUGUCGUUCUCCCACGCGCUGGCCGGUGGAGCCGCUGGGGUUCAAAACCGGGAUACAAAAUCAGCCACCGCCUCCCCACCCUUGCCCCAUCACUGCCUGGGAGAGGAAAGGCGCACAGGCGGAUCGGGGAGAAUGUCUCUGUAAUUCCACUUCAUCUAGGCUGGUGUGAGACCCUUCGGCAUUCAAGAGAAAGGUAAAAAUUUGGCAUUGCAUUGUUCCGAGACAGCCGGGCGUCCGUGCCGUGCCGGCCCACACAAAAGACAAGCACGAAAGAGGAAAGUUGCCUGUCUUGUCUGUUUGCGUUUCCGAUGAACCCUGAUAAUUGUGUUUUCGCAUCCCUGUUUGUCCUGUGACUCUGCCAACACGUCACCUUCUGCCUGCAACCCUCGAUUUCAGGACCCGUGCUCUGAAACGCUUUGUUCGCUCAUAAGGACCUUUUUACACAGAUUUUUCUUUCUUCUUUUCGGAUUCUCAUGCAUUUUUUUUUUCCAUGAAUGAAUCAAGCUACUUGUUCAACCUUCGCUGGAAUGUUCUUUCAUAAGGAUGAGUUUUCAGAUAUAUUUGUUUCGGGUUCUCAUACAUAUUUUUCCCCCACUGUUGAAGCAGAAUACUUGUUACACCUUCCCUAGAAUCAUGAGUACACCUUUGAAAACCCGAGCAGUCACGCCCACUAGAGCCAGUUGAACGCAGUCGAGGUAGGACGCCAGGACGCUUGAGAACACGGCCCAGCAAACUCGGUGUGAAUGUAAGGGAAUUAUUUCAGUAUUGUUAUGAAAUUACGUCACUCCCGCCACCGCCUACUCGCACCACCACCACCACCACCGCCACCGCCUUGCACCCACACCACCCAGUGUCUGCAGAUUACCUCACCACUGCAUCACCGGCUUUCCCCGCGGCUCAUCUCCCUUCCAGCAACUCCGUACAACUGGGUCACUGCUAUGCUCCCCUUCCCGCCGGCGAACCCAUUACUUGUGUACCCUGCCAUCUAUCCCACUCCGGCACAUUACGGCAAAACUACACACAAGCCACAACGCGGAGGAGAGCCGGCUGCGUGAAUUCAAGGGAGAACAUCCAGAACGGAGCUGCUACACGCACAUCUGAAAAGGCUGGACGUCACGUGAGCCAGUUCUGGGAAAUUUCAAGAAUGCACACAUGAAAUCUAACUGGGAAUCUAAAAUCCGUGGAACUUCAACUAGAACCUUUUUGGAAGCAAUGGAGGCGCGAGCAGAAGUGUUUUAGAAUACUGUCCCGCCACCCACACACCUCUCGCCGCACCAAAUGCUAUCCGGGAGAGCCUCGCAGGGAAGCCAUCGAUCGCCUGUCCUCCUGUCUCCUCUUCCCCGUGACCUGCAGAGGAUCGAAACCCACUCGCAACAUCGGGUUAAGUAGCCAUGGUGGCCGUGAGAGGGACCACUGAUGCCUCUGCCGCUCUCUUGAAUGAGUCCUUGUGCCCGGCGCUCGCCCGCACCGCCCCCCGCCGCGCCGCGCCUCCCCGCACAACUGUUUCAAGUGACUGGCGUGGGGGCGCCGUCAAUAAGGUUCUGCGGAACAGUUGAGGACACUCGAGGCCGGACGAGACGAUGCCUGCCGCCGCCUCACGCUACCCGCCCGCCACUACUGCUACUAUUCCCCUCCCCCCCUCUUCACCUGCCUAUCUCCAAGUGACGCACAUCAAGUUUUUGUUGCCCUUGGCCGGCGCCCAUCUUGCCGUUUUUACAGUGGCUACAAAUGCAUCAGCUGGCAGUACAGUCUCACUCUGGCUCCUGCGUGUGGCGCAGAGUGGAGUGACUUCCACCAGAAGCAUUUCCCGCCGUGCCUUCCUGCCAUGAAUGGGAGCUGCACCCACUACCACUCCACGAGGCCACCACAGGGAUUGGGGAAGUAUGUAAUUCUGCUGAAAACAUUACAUUGGUGCCACAAGAUCACAUCACCGUUGUAUGACUUUUCACUGACCACCAAAGGGGCGGCAGGAUAAAGUCGCUACGCCCCGCAUGCGUGUGAGGCCGCGGUGGCGUGGACCCUUUGUCUCACCACCGUGGUAAUGGGGUCCCGGUGGGUUUUCCCCAAACACUGCUCUAUAUUGAUCCGUUUGCGAAGCAGGAAUGCAAAGUGCCGACACAACUAACUGCCCUCGCCCUCUAUUAAACACACACUUACCGCCAGUUACAGUCAGCUGCUGUGCGUAAUAACGUGUCGACAUUCUAAUCAACGCACCAUGGAACAUAAGAAAAUAAAUGAAUCUCUCUCUCUCUCUCUCUCUCUCUCUCUCUCUCUCUCUCUCUCUCUCUCUCUCUCUCUCUCUCUCUCUCACACCACAAGAACUUUUAACCACAUUCAGAUAAUGAAAUCCUUAAAAUAUCUCAACUUAGCGGGCACAGUCUAGUAAUGAUGACCAAACACUCAAAGUUAACACAAUUUCGAACAACUUUGAAUAAAACGAAUGAUGGAAGGUUACUUCAUAUGAUGCUAUCUCUUCUUGCAGGGAUGUAUUAACCCAGGGAGGGAUGCCAAGGGUGAGGACAAAGGCAGAUGGGUUAGUCGGGGGAUGACAGGGCCAAGGACACAAAGAUGGGGUGAUAGGUGUAAGGAUAGAAGCGAUAGAUGGGUUAGUGAGAGGUGACAAGUAUGAUAACAGAAGUAAGACAGGUGGCAGGGAUAACAAGGGUGAAGGGACGCGCGGCAAGCCAGGAAGAGCGAGCAGGUGAGAAGACAAAGGGGUUCAGUCAAAUAAGAUUCAAGUGCAGUCUUCGCUGUACCUUGAUAAUGUGAUAUAUAGCAAAAGAAUCAGGCGGGGCGGGGCGGGGCUUGGGUCAAAGGAUACAUGACUGCUAUCAUUUACGAAAGGGAAGCAAUGGAAAGUGAGAAUAAGAGAAGAGAAAUGAAAGGAGAGUAUGGGCCGUAUUCUGAAACGGUUUGCUCUCAUCACGACUAUUUUCAAGAGAGUUUAUCCUGUUAAUAAUAUAGAAAUCUUAUUAAUCUGUCGCUAAAACUGUAAAUACACCUUUAAAAACCCGUACAACUUUAAUUAGAAUCUUUGAAAACUAAGUGGGGUGCGGUGCAGAGGCGUUUCAGUCUAUGACCUAUGUAUUAUAAACGGAAGGUUGAAAUCUUAGUCUAGACUCGCACCAUCAGAAAAUCACUGACCAUGAUAUAACUAAUAACGCUGUGCAUCUAAACACAUCUACUUGCAAAAGAAAAUAAGCAGUUUGUUGUUUGCGCGUGUGUUCAUUGGGAAAAAAAAAAGUAUUCGUUCGUAAUGCCAAGCGAACGGUAUUUCAACAUAGAGUGGUUCUUUUCUUUUUCUUUUUUUUUCUUUUUUUUUUUCAAACUCCAUUCUGCCUCAUGACUUACAAUAUGAACCCCGCUAAAAAUAUCUGUAAUAAAUUGUCUCCUUCACUUCUCCCUCCUUUGUUUCAUCCAGAUGGUACCACUGCUAUCACCUUUAUCACUAAAGCUGAACUCUUCCCUCAAACCUUGGUUAAAAUUCCGCAAUACGUGAUGUUUAUAACGAUUUAUUUUGUUCAUUUUUUUUUUUUUUUUUUACUUUUUCUACCGGACUACAUUUUCUAUGACCUCCGUAGCUGACACUCGGAACCAUGACGUCAGAAUAAUGGUUGUGCGGUUCUUAUCGUCUUCAAAACAAUGUCAUCCUCGCUCACAUUCCGCAAACUCUCUCUCUCUCUCUCUCUCUCUCUCUCUCUCUCUCUCUCUCUCUCUCUCUCUCUCUCUCUCUCUC
Molecule: long non-coding RNA, 4811 nt
Organism: Scylla paramamosain (green mud crab)
Lineage: Eukaryota; Metazoa; Arthropoda; Malacostraca; Decapoda; Portunidae
Exons: 5
Source: RefSeq, a predicted model, not a curated record